CCUACGGGUGGCUGCAGUGGGGAAUUUUGGACAAUGGGCGCAAGCCUGAUCCAGCCAUGCCGCGUGCGGGAAGAAGGCCUUCGGGUUGUAAACCGCUUUUGUCAGGGAAGAAACGGUUUGGGCUAAUACCUCGAACUAAUGACGGUACCUGAAGAAUAAGCACCGGCUAACUACGUGCCAGCAGCCGCGGUAAUACGUAGGGUGCAAGCGUUAAUCGGAAUUACUGGGCGCGAAGCUGCAGGACGCGGGCGAAAUCCCCGGGCUCAACCUGGGAACUGCAUUUGUGACUGCAUGACUUGAGUACGGUAGAGGGGGAUGGAAUUCCGCGUGUAGCAGUGAAAUGCGUAGAUAUGCGGAGGAACACCGAUGGCGAAGGCAAUCCCCUGGACCUGUACUGACGCUCAUGCACGAAAGCGUGGGGAGCAAACAGGAUUAGAUACCCUAGUAGUC
Molecule: ribosomal RNA, 450 nt
Filed under: uncultured bacterium
Lineage: Bacteria
Description: partial 16S ribosomal RNA
Rfam family: Bacterial small subunit ribosomal RNA
Source: RNAcentral